AUUGAACGCUGGCGGCAGGCCUAACACAUGCAAGUCGAGCGGAUGAAGGGAGCUUGCUCCUGGAUUCAGCGGCGGACGGGUGAGUAAUGCCUAGGAAUCUGCCUGGUAGUGGGGGAUAACGUCCGGAAACGGGCGCUAAUACCGCAUACGUCCUGAGGGAGAAAGUGGGGGAUCUUCGGACCUCACGCUAUCAGAUGAGCCUAGGUCGGAUUAGCUAGUUGGUGGGGUAAAGGCCUACCAAGGCGACGAUCCGUAACUGGUCUGAGAGGAUGAUCAGUCACACUGGAACUGAGACACGGUCCAGACUCCUACGGGAGGCAGCAGUGGCGAAUAUUGGACAAUGGGCGAAAGCCUGAUCCAGCCAUGCCGCGUGUGUGAAGAAGGUCUUCGGAUUGUAAAGCACUUUAAGUUGGGAGGAAGGGCAGUAAGUUAAUACCUUGCUGGUUUGACGUUACCAACAGAAUAAGCACCGGCUAACUUCGUG
Molecule: ribosomal RNA, 484 nt
Filed under: uncultured bacterium
Lineage: Bacteria
Description: partial 16S ribosomal RNA
Rfam family: Bacterial small subunit ribosomal RNA
Source: RNAcentral